This 497-nucleotide ribosomal RNA is filed under the name uncultured bacterium. RNAcentral describes it as "partial 16S ribosomal RNA". It matches the Rfam family "Bacterial small subunit ribosomal RNA", at positions 28 to 507 of the family's 1533-position model. The record is from RNAcentral.
GAUGAACGCUGGCGGCGUGCCUAAUACAUGCAAGUCGAGCGAACAGACGAGGAGCUUGCUCCUCUGACGUUAGCGGCGGACGGGUGAGUAACACGUGGAUAACCUACCUAUAAGACUGGGAUAACUUCGGGAAACCGGAGCUAAUACCGGAUAAUAUAUCGAACCGCAUGGUUCAAUAGUGAAAGACGGUUUUGCUGUCACUUAUAGAUGGAUCCGCGCCGCAUUAGCUAGUUGGUAAGGUAACGGCCUACCAAGGCAACGAUGCGUAGCCGACCUGAGAGGGUGAUCGGCCACACUGGAACUGAGACACGGUCCAGACUCCUACGGGAGGCAGCAGUGGGGAAUCUUGCGCAAUGGGCGCAAGCCUGACGGAGCAAUGCCGCGUGAGUGAUGAAGGUCUUCGGGUCGUAAAACUCUGUUAUUAGGGAAGAACAAAUGUGUAAGUAACUAUGCACGUCUUGACGGUACCUAAACAGAAAGCCACGGCUAACUUCGUG